AUUGAACGCUGGCGGCAGGCCUAACACAUGCAAGUUGAGCGGAUGACGGGAGCUUGCUCCUUGAUUUAGCGGCGGACGGGUGAGUAAUGCCUAGGAAUUUGCCUGGUAGUGGGGGACAACGUUUUGAAAGGAACGCUAAUUCCGCAUACGUCCUACGGGAGAAAGCAGGGGACCUUCGGGCCUUGCGCUAUCAGAUGAGCCUAGGUUGGAUUAGCUAGUUGGUGAGGUAAUGGCUCACCAAGGCGACGAUCCGUAACUGGUUUGAGAGGAUGAUCAGUCACCCUGGAAAUGAGACCCGGUCCCGACUCCUUCGGGAGGCAGCAGUGGGGAAUAUUGGACAAUGGGCGAAAGCCUGAUCCAGCCCUGCCGCGUGUGUGAAGAAGGUUUUUGGAUUGUAAAGCACUUUAAGUUGGGAGGAAGGGCAGUAAGUUAAUACCUUGCUGUUUUGACGUUUCCAAGAGAAUAAGCACCGGCUAACUUUGUG
RNAcentral lists this ribosomal RNA (484 nucleotides) under uncultured bacterium. RNAcentral describes it as "bacterial SSU rRNA". It matches the Rfam family "Bacterial small subunit ribosomal RNA", at positions 30 to 507 of the family's 1533-position model. The record is from RNAcentral.